Molecule: long non-coding RNA, 413 nt
Organism: Glossina fuscipes
Lineage: Eukaryota; Metazoa; Arthropoda; Insecta; Diptera; Glossinidae
Exons: 3
Source: RefSeq, a predicted model, not a curated record
UAUUUAAACAGUAAGGCUUGCAAGAGCGGUUUCAAUGACGCCGAAGAAUUGCUGCCUUUGUGCUAUAAAUGUUCAAAUUAUAGUCAACAUUUAAAUGGAAACUCUUGCCCCACUUGCAAACAGUAUUAUAUAUUUUCUUUUAUAUCAUUUGAAAUUUUAACGUUAGUGCAAUUCUAUCCUGAGAUUGAUAUUAGUGAUACUGAAGCGGAGAGAUUGUUAUUAGCUCCGCCAAAAGCCAGUGAAGAUCAAGAUCAAUUUAAUGAGGAUGUUGCCAGUGCGUUGCCGUUAAGUUUAGAUCGGAAUGCUUUACGAGCUAUAGAUCCUAAUCAUGUGCUGGUUUUAAAACGCCGUAAUAAGCCAAGCAGCAAAUUUGUGUAUUAUCGCAAUAUAUUACCUGAUCUACAAAUAACCUA